RNAcentral lists this ribosomal RNA (462 nucleotides) under uncultured bacterium. RNAcentral describes it as "partial 16S ribosomal RNA". It matches the Rfam family "Bacterial small subunit ribosomal RNA", at positions 28 to 507 of the family's 1533-position model. The record is from RNAcentral.
GACGAACGCUGGCGGCGUGCUUAACACAUGCAAGUCGAGCGGUAAGGCCUUUCGGGGUACACGAGCGGCGAACGGGUGAGUAACACGUGGGUGAUCUGCCCUGCACCUCGGGAUAAGCCUGGGAAACUGGGUCUAAUACCGGAUAUGACCUCCUAUCGCAUGGUGGGUGGUGGAAAGAUUUAUCGGUGCAGGAUGGGCCCGCGGCUUAUCAGCUUGUUGGUGGGGUAAUGGCCUACCAAGGCGACGACGGGUAGCCGACCUGAGAGGGUGACCGGCCACACUGGGACUGAGACACGGCCCAGACUCCUACGGGAGGCAGCAGUGGGGAAUAUUGCACAAUGGGCGAAAGCCUGAUGCAGCGACGCCGCGUGAGGGAUGACGGCCUUCGGGUUGUAAACCUCUUUCAGCAGGGACGAAGCGCAAGUGACGGUACCUGCAGAAGAAGCACCGGCUAACUACGUG